UGCCGGAUGCUCCGACUCCUCGCAUGGGGUGUCGGGAAAGAUUUCAUCGGUAUGGGAUGGGGUCGCGUCCUAUCAGGUAGUCGGCGGGGUAACGGCCCACCGAGCCUACGACGGGUAGCCGGCCUGAGAGGGCGACCGGCCACAUUGGGACUGAGAUACGGCCCAGACUCCUACGGGAGGCAGCAGUGGGGAAUAUUGCACAAUGGGCGCAAGCCUGAUGCAGCGACGCCGCGUGCGGGAUGACGGCCUUCGGGUUGUAAACCGCUUUUGAUCGGGAGCAAGCCUUCGGGUGAGUGUACCUUUCGAAUAAGCACCGGCUAACUACGUGCCAGCAGCCGCGGUAAUACGUAGGGUGCAAGCGUUAUCCGGAAUUAUUGGGCGUAAAGGGCUCGUAGGCGGUUCGUCGCGUCCGGUGUGAAAGUCCAUCGCUUAACGGUGGAUCUGCGCCGGGUACGGGCGGGCUGGAGUGCGGUAGGGGAGACUGGAAUUCCCGGUGUAACGGUGGAAUGUGUAGAUAUCGGGA
RNAcentral lists this ribosomal RNA (523 nucleotides) under Bifidobacterium pseudocatenulatum. RNAcentral describes it as "bacterial SSU rRNA". It matches the Rfam family "Bacterial small subunit ribosomal RNA", at positions 167 to 702 of the family's 1533-position model. The record is from RNAcentral. Lineage: Bacteria; Bacillati; Actinomycetota; Actinomycetes; Bifidobacteriales; Bifidobacteriaceae.